GUGCUCCCUUCAGCAGCGCAUGUACUAAACAAUAUAGAGAAGAUCAGCAUGGCCUCUGCACAAGGAUGACUUGCAAAUUCAUGAAGCAUUUCAUAUUUUU
This 100-nucleotide small nuclear RNA is filed under the name Catagonus wagneri (Chacoan peccary). Lineage: Eukaryota; Metazoa; Chordata; Mammalia; Artiodactyla; Tayassuidae. The record is from RNAcentral.